UUCUGGCUCAGAACGAACGCUGGCGGCGCGUUUAAGCAUGCAAGUCGAGCGGCAAGGGCCUUCGGGCCCUGGAGCGGCGGACGGGUGAGUAACACGUGGACAAUCUGCCCCCGGCCCGGGAUAGCCCAGGGAAACCUGGAUUAAUACCGGAUGAGACGGGACCCGCGAUGGCGGGACCCGGGAAAGGCGCUGCGGCGCCGCCGGGGGAUGAGUCUGCGUCCCAUUAGCUAGACGGCGGGGUAACGGCCCACCGUGGCGACGAUGGGUAGCCGGCCUGAGAGGGUGGACGGCCACAUUGGAACUGAGACACGGUCCAGACUCCUACGGGAGGCAGCAGUAGGGAAUCUUCCGCAAUGGACGAAAGUCUGACGGAGCAACGCCGCGUGAGUGAAGAAGGUUUUUUCCGGAUCGUAAAACUCUGUUGUCAGAGAAGAACAAGUUGGAGAGUAACUGCUCCAGCCUUGACGGUAUCUGACCAGAAAGCCACGGCUAACUACGUGCCAGCAGCCGC
This 511-nucleotide ribosomal RNA is filed under the name uncultured bacterium. RNAcentral describes it as "bacterial SSU rRNA". It matches the Rfam family "Bacterial small subunit ribosomal RNA", at positions 17 to 518 of the family's 1533-position model. The record is from RNAcentral.